CCCUCCUGGCGUACAGUUUUCAGAGAACCUCGCUCUAACGCCGCAAAGCACUAUCUGGUUAUCAAUGGCGAAUUUUUACAGAGCAUUUCUCUUAUCAAAUCUGCCAAGCAUAUAUGCUUCACACUUGCUUAAGCUGAAAUAAUUACCCAGAGAGAACUCAUAAAUUUUCAUUAAGAGUCCAAGAAAAGGGAAUCAUGGGGCAAAGAAAAUGCCAUGGAUAGAAGAGUUCGAGAAAUAUAAUAUUAACAAAGGAUAAAACUUACAUCACAACGCUAGAAGGUUUCCCUUCCGGGACUUCCCGGGGGGAAAGAAAGGACUUGUUUGUACAGACUCCUUACUCCACGGGAUAAAUAUAAUAUUAACAAGGGAUAGUUCGAGAAAUAUAAUAUUAACAAAGGAUAAAACUUACAUCACGACGCUAGAAGGUUUCCCUUCCGGGACUUCCCGGGGGGAAAGAAAGGACUUGUUUGUACAGACUCCUUAUUCCAGGAUGCAGUUGAUGGAAAAAAUAUUUACAGGAAGAACAGGAAAAUAAAAGCCAUUGGAAAUAUUUGUGGAGCUAGGAUGCUAUAUCUAAUAGGAUACUUGCUUCAUUCUUACUUGUCGUCAAAAAGAUCUUUCUUUAAGCUUCAGUGUUUUUUCAUAGAAAGC
This 651-nucleotide long non-coding RNA is filed under the name Ananas comosus (pineapple). Its description in RNAcentral is "long non-coding RNA (ACOM_LNC031496)". The record is from RNAcentral. Lineage: Eukaryota; Viridiplantae; Streptophyta; Magnoliopsida; Poales; Bromeliaceae.